CUUGUUGGUGAGGUAAUUGCUUACCAAGGCAACGAUCAGUAGCUGGUCUGAGAGGAUGAUCAGCCACACUGGGACUGAGACACGGCCCAGACUUCUACGGAAGGCAGCAGUGAGGAAUUUUCCGCAAUGGGCGAAAGCCUGACGGAGCAAUGCCGCGUGGAGGAUGACAGCCUGUGGGUCGUAAACUCCUUUUCUCAGAGAAGAAGUUCUGACGGUAUCUGAGGAAUAAGCAUCGGCUAACUCCGUGCCAGCAGCCGCGGUAAGACGGAGGAUGCAAGCGUUAUCCGGAAUGAUUGGGCGUAAAGCGUCUGUAGGUGGUUUAUUAAGUCUACUGUUAAAGAUCAGGGCUUAACCCUGAGUCGGCAGUAGAAACUAAUGAGCUUGAGUACGGUAGGGGCAGAGGGAAUUCCCGGUGGACGGUUA
This 423-nucleotide ribosomal RNA is filed under the name Chloroidium saccharophilum. RNAcentral describes it as "bacterial SSU rRNA". It matches the Rfam family "Bacterial small subunit ribosomal RNA", at positions 245 to 683 of the family's 1533-position model. The record is from RNAcentral. Lineage: Eukaryota; Viridiplantae; Chlorophyta; Trebouxiophyceae; Watanabeales; Watanabeaceae.